GGCACUGGGAGGAGGGGAGAGGCAAGAGUUAGGGGAAUACCGAGGAAAGUGGCAGGGAUUGGAGGCUCCUGGAGAAAGGGCAAGGCUGAAGGUUGUCCCAUGUAUUUUGGCCAGAUUUGAUUAUGUAAUCGAGAAUCAUGAGAUAAUUAAGUGUGUUCAUGUCUCUGGAGCCUUCAACCAGCUCUUUUAACAUCUUGCUCUUCCCAGCAUUCCUUAGGGUCUUUGGCUGGGCUCUGGGAUGGAUGCCAUGGGAGUACCUUUACUUAAGCUCUAAAGUUACCAAUGGAGAGACUGGGACUCAAAGAGGAACUUGAUUGGACCCCAGAGAGGUGAGGGGUAAGGGCUAGAACCUCACACAUGCUGGUUUUGCUGCUGCCUGGCAGGCCCAUGGGAAGAACUUUAGAGGUUCCAAGGAAUUGGAAAAGGGUCACAAGAUGGGUGGCCAAACUCCCAGCUCAGGCUUGAUUCCUACUCUCAAUGUGGGGAUAGUGGAGAAGGGGGCUGCAGGAAGGGCUGAGAAAAGCUGAGAAUGAGAAGUUAUACAGGAGGUAGCUUGGUGGGAGUGAAACAAAAAUGAGUGGUUCAUGGGCCAGCCAGGCAUCCUGAUUUCCAGCUCACAGCAGCAGGAGCUUCAGAGAGGAAGAAGGAGAGGAGGAGAAAGCCAGGUUGAUGUUAGUAAAGGUCAAACAAUUUCAGGAGCACCUCUGACCUCCCUCCACACAGGUUUUCUUACCUUGACUAUGCAGAGGGUGGUCCAUCUUGGCACUGAAGAUGGAACCCCCUCUUCCAUGGUCUGGGGUGACCCCAUGCCUGUAACUGAAUGUGCUCAGAUCCUUGGGGUGCGGGGACUGUAGGGGGAGGAUUUGAAGGUGUGGGACUGUCCUGGCUGGAGACCACUGGGUCAGGAGAACUCCAGUAGAGGGUUUGGGUGCUGGGAACCAGGAAGAGUGGGGGAAGGGGCAGAGCCAACUCCAGAGGCGGAUCUCCUGGCUGAGGACAGAGGGUGUAUUGUCCAAGCUGGAGGUUGCUGUAGCUGGGCGGGGAGCAGCUCAGCUCGUCUCUUCCAAAUUUCUUUUGGGGGAGGGUAAGGGAAGGCAAGCCCCCCUUUACUUGUGGCCCUGGGGGCUACAAUGGUUGCUGAGAAACAAGGCUUAUUUGACAAAUAAUGCUUCCCAGGAGCAGAUGUGUAGCUCUCUCACUUCCUGAGAAACCAGAUGCUGUGAGCUCGCUUAGCACUUGAGGCGACGCCCUCAGCACGAACUGGGACCCUAGUGCCUUGGGAUCCGGAGUAUAGUGCUUGAUUCUAUUGAGAAGAAACGAGGCUAAUGUGGACUGGGAGACACACGGGACCUAAUCAGCCUCAAGUUAGCCCUUUUGAAGUAGGUUGCUGCACCUGCACUUUCCCCCUACUCGUCCACUAGUUCAAGAUUUACAAGACGUUGACAAUGAGGGCUGACCAGUCCUGGGUCCACUCCUGCAGCUGGGGGGCUUCUCGGUGGACCCACACUUUUUUUUUGAGACAGGGUCUUGCUCUGUUGCCCAGGCUGGAGUGUAGUGGUGUGAUCACAGCUCACUGCAGCCUUGACCUCCUGGGUUCAAGUGAUCCUUCCUCCCAAGUAGCUGCAACUAUGGGCAUACACCACCAUACCUGGAUAAUUUUUCUAUUUUUUUGUAGAGACAGGGUCUUGCCAUGUUGCCCUGACUAGUCUCAAACUUCUAGGCUCAAGCGAUUCUCCUGCCUCAUCCUCCCAAAGUGCUGGGAUUACAGGUGUGAGCAACCAUUGAGACAAGAGUCUCGCUCUGUCACCCAGGCCGGAGUGCAGUGGUGCGAUCCCGGUCCACUGCAACCUCCACUUCCCGGGUUCAAGCGAUUCUUCUGCCUCAGCCUCCUGAGUAGCUGGGACUACAGGUGUACACCACCAUGCCUAGCUAAUUUUUGUAUUUUUAGUAGAGACGGGGUUUCACCCUAUUAGCCAGGCUGGUCUAGAACUCCUGACCACAUGAUGUGCCCGCCUUGGCCUCCCAAAGUGCUGGGAUUACAGCUGUGAGCCAUGGCACCUGGCCACACACGUCUUUUUAAAUUUAAAUGAGGAUGUGGCCAUAUUACAGCCCAGGUUUUCUCUGACUUUAGAGUACCUUUUGGGACAUAGGGCCUUCCUCUCUACCCUUUCUGUACACAGCCAUCAUAAACCUCUUUCAACAAGCCUUUCCUAUUUUUAUGUUCCUUCUUUCCAUCAUUUACCUAGACCUCAUUAUUGCACAGCUGAGAGUGGCUUGAAACAAAGGCUUGGAGAAUGUGAGUGAAACUGAUUCCUGUGGUGGAGAGGCAGUGAAAAAGCAUUACCUUGUAGGUUUCCAGGCAGCCUGGACAAUAGGGGCACCUAAACCCACAUUGAAAAGCCUUCACAUCAUCACAGCUGAGUCUCAUAGCCUUCAACUUUACCAGUUUUGGAGAACAGAGAUAAAUGCACUGGCCAGAAACUAGAAGAGCAGCUGCUCCAAUUGGCUGGGAAAUCAUUUAACUGGCUCCUCAUCUUGGCUCUUAAAUCCCCAAAAUUGUUGACUGAGGUUUCCCGGGCUCCUUUCUAUGCUCCACCUCCUUGUGACCUUAAGGAUUCUCUGCCACUGUCCUAACCCCUUUCCCGCCUUGCAACAAUGACCAGUCUGUCCCUAGCUGUUUGGAAAAUUCCCACUGAGUCUGUGAGCCUCUGUUCUGGUAACCUCGACCAGCCUGUCACCAGUAUCUCUGGUCCACCAGUGCGGUGUAACUCAAGGGAGCAGCAUCUCUCCAGAUUGCUGAAGUGAGGGAGGGAGAUUAUGAGGGAACUGCCCCAAGGACACAAGGAUUCAUUCUUAGAGUUCCCACAUCUUGAUUAAAAUAAACAGUACAGGAAAUAGACUGCAGGCACAUCCAGGUGAUUAAAAAAUUUAACACCAGGCAAAAAAAAAAAAAAAAAAAAAAAAAAAAGCCAGAGGGGAGCUAGGAUGCAAACUCUAUUAUUGGGCCUCAAUAAACACUGAAAUAGAUUCCCUUGUAACCCCACCCUCUAAUCUUGGACAAUAUGGUAUCCAAUACUGAAUGAAAACUUCAGAGAUGGUAGGAGGAGGAGGAGCAGGUGGUCAAUGACUACAGUAAAAACCACUGGGAGUGCAGAGUAUUUGUCAAAGAACUUCAGCAUUACAAUGAACUUUAAAGAUCAGAUUUAUUUGGAGAAAACAAAAAACCCACAACCCAAAGGAUGGGAUUUUACAUCAAGACAUCUCCCAGGUAAUAAGUCUACAGAUUACAAAUCAUUUUCAUAGAAGAUAUUUUUGUACAAAUUUUACAUGUAUUCAGGAGCGGGACAUUAAUCAAUCCCUGUUUCUAUUUUAAUAGGGGGGACAAGGUAGGGGAGAGGGAAAAACAGUUUUGGAUAUAACUAUUUGGAAGGAGAGUAGACAUGAAGAGGGCAAACCCUAGCUUUUCAUUAUCUACAAUCAAUAGUUUGUUUUUCUUUUUUAAAAAAGAAAGAAAAACCCUUUCAAUCUUCAAUACUCUUUAAAAGCCCACUUCUUAGCUACUGGCCAAUCCACACCAAUUAUUUAAAUUCACUUGGUACACACCUUUGUCCACUGGGUAAAUUAUAUUCAUUAUGCCCACUGCUGCAGCACGCAUAAACCAACACCCCUGCAUGGCUGAACAGGGCCUAAUCUAGGACUGAUGGGAGAAGGGCUUGCAAACCAAGAUCAAGGUGUUUCUCCGCUAAUACUGUCUACCAAGCUGAUCCCUACAAAAAUGCAUAUAAAAGCAGGCAAGUUUAGCUACUGUGUUGCAAGAGAAACCAGGACCUUGUUAAAUAGUUCUCUCCAUUACCAUUUAUUCUCUCAAGGGAAGCUUAAAAAAACAACAACAAAACAACACAUUGGUCUGGCCACCUCAUGAAUCCAACAAGCAUUAGUGUGGCAUUUCAGUGGAGAAGGAAACUUGGGGGGAAAAAUCCCAUCAAGGUUGUAAGAAAGGCUCCCAAUUUAACUGUCCCUGUCCCUAUUUAUCCAUCAUCCAAGACCAUCCAUUAUUCUAGAGCACUCUGAUCAAUAAAAGGGGUCCAAGCAUCAGGAGCAGGCAAGGAGAACCAAAAGACAUCAAGAAACCGAUUUGCUUGAGAAAAGCAGCGAUUCUUCCUUUCAGAGUUCUCCAUGGCUGAGAAAAUGCCCAAGACAUCAUGUAUGUGACUUAGAUACUGCUUUUUGGGAGGUUAAGAGUAGCAUGAAGAACUUAAGAUGAUGAUAAGAGUCUAAAUUUUUAGUUUCAAGGUUUCAAUAGAAUGUGGAUAUAUUCAAAACUUUCAAAAAGGACAGUGUUUAGAAAGGGUAAAACUAGGACACAGAAAACACUGGGAAUUACCACGACCCCCAAGUGCUUCCGGCUCCAGGAAAUAACCAUUCAUGUGUUUGCUGGAGGUCACACAAUUUUCCCCUAUUACCUGGUGCAAAAUGACUCAUCACUUCCCAAAAGCUUCUUUUCAAACCACGAUUUUCCCAUUUAUUUUGGUCCAAUGCAGUCCCAUUCUUUAUGGCCUAUAGUCUCACUCCCAACUACCCCCCUGGGGGGUUAAAAAAAAAAAAGGAAUUCCCUCUAGGCUGGCCCCCAAAACUCAGAAUUAAAUAAGAGGAGGGGCUGGCAGCCUCCUGGAGACUAGAACAACUUGAGGCUAAAUCUACCUUUCCAAGAGUGGAAAAUUUAUUCAGAUAAUGUUUGAGAAUUCAUAUAUGCCACAAUAGGAUAAAAACUAAAAGGUAGAAAUCUCACACUUUUCCUUCUACCUCCCUCCCCUACUGCCCAACCAGGUUCCAGGCAUUAUAUCACUGUCAUUACCAUUUCUGCUAAAUGGAGACCCCUAGGCACUAAUCACACUGGCAACUGCAUGGUGACAUAACGCACCACAACUUUUCCUCUAAAAAGCUGUAGUCCCUUUCUCUCUGGCUGUAUUGGCAAUUCUCCAGUUACUUCAAUACUUUAAAGGCUGCAGCAGCAUGCAAAAUAAUUUCAUUUUUUGUUUUUAAAAAAAGGUAAGAAAGGUCUUCAGGAGAUGGUGAGUUUUAUUUUGUCUUGUCUGGAUAGAGGUUUUGAUUUGCUCUCGAAUGUUCCAGGGUGGAGAGAAACUAGGAGAAAAGCACAGGAUGUAGAGGUCUAUUCGGCAUAAUCUUCUCCCUCAUUUUCAUCUUCACCAUCAACAGAGAGAGCAGCAUACUUGCUUGCAGAACUGAACUUCUGUAACACAACGAGAGUGACAGGAUAAUGAAGGCCCUGAAUUAUCACAUCAAAACCCAAGACACAGGAUACUGAUCCUUUGGCAAUGGGGGAUGACAGUCAGAUGACACCCACUUGCUUGCUCAUCAGCAUUGUCCAUUGGAGAGGAGCUAGGGAAGAGGGUCAGAGGCACAUGCGAUCUUACUAUAGUCUCAUACCACCUCUACACCUUGCAGAAGGGAUGAGAACAAAGGAAGACAGAAACCAGGAAAAAGCUAAACUUCUUUCGCUAUUUCAGUAAAGACCAAUGUCUUAUUUCCAAACACUUUGUAUUCCAAAUGGAAAGAAGUCCAACGGCAAAAAGUUUAGAAUACUAAGAAUUUUUAAUUCUUAGUAAGAAUACUUAGAAUUCUAAGAAUUUUUCUUAGAAUGAAAAAUUGGGAGCAGCCUUCAACACUUACGGAAGCUGGAUUUUCCUCAGGUUUCUUUGGCUCAGGUGCAGAUCUGGAGUCUUGAUCCUUUUUGCCAUCUUUCCUGCAGAGACGUAAGCAUAAAACCAUGUCUUUAGGAAAGGACUCGCCUAAUACAAACAUGUGUAUGCAUGCAGUUUCAAGGCACUGAACAGGCACCUCUAGUCAACAGUCCUUGUUGUCUGGAUGAUGUAUUACUUCUAGAUUUUCAGAAUCUUAACUGUCUACGUUGGCUGACUUUAGUUUGCUCACAAUGAGCGAUCUGGCAGUGCUCUGAGAACCAAGAACUUAAUUUCUUAAUUACACAAACAUGUGGAUCAGAGGAAAGAUGAGAAAGAGAACAAGCAUACCUAUCUGACUCCUUCCAGUGGUCUCUGUUCCCUCCGUCGCCUGGACCACGGCUAGAGUUCCCAGUUUGGCCUUUUGGGGCAUUCAUCCCAUCUACUUUAUUUUCAUCUGCUUGGGCAGUAAUGUAAACAAAUUAAAGGCAAGUAAAAGUAUCAAUGUCCCUCUCCUAAGAUUUCCCUUAAGCUGAAGAAAAUUGUGCCCACAUGUACUGAGGGAAACUAACCUCACCCCAACCCAGACUUCCUUCCUGAAGCCCUUCUUUCCACAUCCUCUACAGCACACAAAAAUACAAAAAACAAACAAAAUCCACUAAAAAGUUCCAUGUAGGGAUAUGCCAUCAUGAAAAGCAAGCUGGAAAUAAAGAUUAUGACGCUCUGUAGUGACCUUGGUUAAUUUCCUUCCGAUUUUUUUCUCCCCGUCAAAGAAAUGUUCUACCAGGAAAGGGCAGGGUUUCAUACUUUCUCCAAAGAGGCCACUCCUCCCUCUACUGGCAAGAAAAGGUAGAUAACCC
This 6559-nucleotide long non-coding RNA is filed under the name Homo sapiens (human). Its description in RNAcentral is "non-protein coding lnc-SPRYD3-1:17". Lineage: Eukaryota; Metazoa; Chordata; Mammalia; Primates; Hominidae. The record is from RNAcentral.